AAAGUCGUAACAAGGUUUCCGUAGGUGAACCUGCGGAAGGAUCAUUACUGAAUGACAUGCACCUUCUUGUAGUAGACCAUUCAAUGGCCUGCCAUUCAGGAUUUGAUGAUAAUCAACUCGGCUCGUUGCCCAACAUCAGGUAGUGCUUCUCGGCGCCUUGCUGAGUGCGGCACCUGUUUGGGGGACAGGAGAGGUCGAAGUUGGUUCGACGUCGGAUGCUGUUGUGCGGGGCCUUUGGUCUCCUACGUUUCCCUUUUCUUCUUCACCACACAAAAACCUGUCGUCGUAUGGAGUGUUGCACUUAAACAUAUAAUAUAUAACUUUCAACAACGGAUCUCUUGGCUCUC
RNAcentral lists this unclassified non-coding RNA (347 nucleotides) under Basidiomycota sp. RNAcentral's name for it is "partial contains small subunit ribosomal RNA, internal transcribed spacer 1, and 5.8S ribosomal RNA". The stretch from base 1 to 47 matches the Rfam family "Eukaryotic small subunit ribosomal RNA", at positions 1785 to 1831 of the family's 1831-position model. The record is from RNAcentral. Lineage: Eukaryota; Fungi; Basidiomycota.